AGUGCGCGACGCAACGAACCCCUUUUUCAAGGGGGGUUCGCUCUUUUCCUCUCCGGCCGGCGAAUUCUAUUUGGAAAACAGCUUUCCUGGAACUCGCGCCGAUGCUCUCCGUUCCUCUUUUUUUCUAUCUGCCAUUUUUUUUCGUCCGUCUGAAAUUUACAUCGUUUCGAGAUCGUCGAGAAUUUAUGCACUCCCUCGUGCGCUACUUCACCUCGAAAAUUAUCGAUAGACCGGGGUGACGGCGAACGUCGCACGCGAUCGAUAAACGCGACACCCUUUCGAUGGGAUGUUUAAACCCUUUGCUUUUAGGUCUUGGGGUGUCGUGACGGAUUGAAACGUGGAGCGAAAAUUCAAUGCGCGAAUUUUGUUUUUAAAAAAAUUGCGCUGAAAAUUAACAAAUGCACGAGACACAGAUUUCUCUUUGUUCGAAACGUUAUGAAUGGCCGGGGAUCGAAUAUAUUUUGCAACAUGAUGAAACGAAACUUCGGUUGAUGACCUCGAAAUAAGAAAAAAGAAGGAGGAUAAAGUAUUUAAUUAAUUACGAUCACGUUUGUCACGGACGACGAACGAUCGAUACGAGUGACGAUUCGAGGUAACUGUGGCGUCGGAUAAUUAAUCAGUUGCCUUUGAGCGACGUUAUAUCGCAAGUCGCACACAAUCGGCCAUUGUUGCGACCAGAUACAGAAUAUUAUUGUGCGAAAGGGAAAAUAAACUUCCUCGGAUAAUGAAAAUUGAGAUAAAAUCGAGCGGUAGCUGCUAGAGAUAAUAUUAUUUUAGGUGCUAUUCAUAUUCUGUUAUAAGCUGAGAUACGAAUUAAUUUUCAUAUUAUUAAGGGAAGAAAAUAACCGAAAUACUCUCUACCAAGAAAAUUUACAUUGAAUCCUUA
This is a long non-coding RNA of Nylanderia fulva, 886 nucleotides long. RefSeq lists it as uncharacterized. NCBI's taxonomy places the organism in Eukaryota, Metazoa, Arthropoda, Insecta, Hymenoptera, Formicidae. The record is from RefSeq and is a predicted model, not a curated record.